Molecule: ribosomal RNA, 481 nt
Filed under: Streptococcus mutans
Lineage: Bacteria; Bacillati; Bacillota; Bacilli; Lactobacillales; Streptococcaceae
Description: bacterial SSU rRNA
Rfam family: Bacterial small subunit ribosomal RNA
Source: RNAcentral
GACGAACGCUGGCGGCGUGCCUAAUACAUGCAAGUGGGACGCAAGGAAACACACUGUGCUUGCACACCGUGUUUUCUUGAGUCGCGAACGGGUGAGUAACGCGUAGGUAACCUGCCUAUUAGCGGGGGAUAACUAUUGGAAACGAUAGCUAAUACCGCAUAAUAUUAAUUAUUGCAUGAUAAUUGAUUGAAAGAUGCAAGCGCAUCACUAGUAGAUGGACCUGCGUUGUAUUAGCUAGUUGGUAAGGUAAGAGCUUACCAAGGCGACGAUACAUAGCCGACCUGAGAGGGUGAUCGGCCACACUGGGACUGAGACACGGCCCAGACUCCUACGGGAGGCAGCAGUAGGGAAUCUUCGGCAAUGGACGAAAGUCUGACCGAGCAACGCCGCGUGAGUGAAGAAGGUUUUCGGAUCGUAAAGCUCUGUUGUAAGUCAAGAACGUGUGUGAGAGUGGAAAGUUCACACAGUGACGGAGCUACCA